This 245-nucleotide ribosomal RNA is filed under the name uncultured Spirochaetaceae bacterium. RNAcentral's name for it is "partial 16S ribosomal RNA". It matches the Rfam family "Bacterial small subunit ribosomal RNA", at positions 524 to 768 of the family's 1533-position model. Lineage: Bacteria; Pseudomonadati; Spirochaetota; Spirochaetia; Spirochaetales; Spirochaetaceae. The record is from RNAcentral.
CACGUAUGGGGCGAGCGUUGUUCGGAAUUAUUGGGCGUAAAGGGUGCGCAGGCGGUUAUGCAAGUCUGGUGUCAAAGCCCGCAGCUCAACUGCGGAAGGGCAUUGGAAACUGUGUGACUAGAGUUCGUGAGGGGUAGCUGGAAUUCCAGGUGUAGGGGUGAAAUCUGUAGAUAUCUGGAAGAACAUCAAUGGCGAAGGCAAGCUACUGGCACUGAACUGACGCUGAGGCACGAAAGCGUGGGGAG